AUCAACUAACAAAACAAAUCUCUAAUUAAAUUAAACUAUUUCCUCCAUAUCCGUAUCUUCUUUGUCGACCAUGUUUUCUUUUUAUCAAUAUCUGAAUCGUCCUUAAUUCUUGGUAUAUGACGUUCACUCCUCAUUUGUAUGAUUUCUUGUGGAAAUCGAUAUAUUCUUGUUGUCGUUCUUGUUGUACAUUCCAUUCUUUUGAUACUCUAUAUUUUUUUUCGGCUUUCUAUUUAUGUACUUUGGAUAAUCAUCACAGCUCUGAAUAUCUAGUAAACUCUUUGACUUCACAGCAACAAUGAUCUCUGCUUUUGAUAAUUUAUCUUUCUCGGCUAUAUAACUGUGAUAUAGACCUGAUAAAAAUUACGUUAGUAGUCGUUAUUGAAUAUAUAUAAGCAAUUUACAUUUUGUGUUAGUAGCACUUACAAUCGAAUGGUUUACCACGUUCCUUGUU
This 451-nucleotide long non-coding RNA is filed under the name Aquilegia coerulea. Its description in RNAcentral is "long non-coding RNA (ACOE_LNC001922)". Lineage: Eukaryota; Viridiplantae; Streptophyta; Magnoliopsida; Ranunculales; Ranunculaceae. The record is from RNAcentral.